Long non-coding RNA from Leopardus geoffroyi (Geoffroy's cat), 666 nucleotides. RefSeq lists it as uncharacterized. The record is from RefSeq and is a predicted model, not a curated record. Lineage: Eukaryota; Metazoa; Chordata; Mammalia; Carnivora; Felidae. The transcript is spliced from 2 exons.
GGCAUCCAAGGGAGCUUUCUGGAACUGUUUAUCCCACAGUGGGCUUAAUUUUCCACCUCAUUUUGCAGACUUACUCAGCAAAUUGGCUUAUCUUCUAUGCUUCAUGCCAGUCCUCAAACUUCAGUAAGGCAAGAAAAUCUUUCAGCCGUUCUCCCUAAUCACCUCACUUCUGUUUCCCACACUUCCAGUUCAGUGUCAGAUUGGCUGACCUCUUAAUUUUCAGCCCGAAUGCCACACACUGCUGAGAAAACCACAGAUGCAUACACGCCUGUCUCUUAAAGCAGGAGUCGGCACACCUUUUCUUGUAAGGGACCAGAUAGGGAGUGUCUUCAGCUUUGUGGGCCACACAGUUCCCGUUGCGGCUCCUGAGCCCUGCCACCUCUGUGUGAACACAACCAUAGACAACCGUGUGUGUGAACGAGCAUGGCUGUGUUCUGAUAAAACUUUAUGUACAAAAGCAGGUGACCCAACAGAGAUGGCUGGAUACCGAACCCUGUCUUCCUUAAUCAACCCAGGCUACAAAAACUGACCCUGAUAAAUGAGGAAGUGUUCAUAAAAUAGGUCUUUGAUUUGAGGAACGAUACACUUCAUAAGUCCAUUAAGAGUGCGACUGUCCUAGUCUCCUGGAAAUGUAUUUGGAUUACAAAAAAAAAAAAAAAACCAAAC